GCAUGCGCGGUCCCCGGGAGCCGCGUGGCGGUGCGCAGGGCGCGGGUCUCGGCGGCAGCGGGCGAGCGCCGGGACCGCGGGUGAGAGGCCACGCUGUGGGUGCGGUUGUCCGUUCGUCCCCCAGGGAUGCCGUUGAAAGCAGCAGCCUCAGGCUCGCGUGGGCUGUCUCUGCCUGGCCUCCCUCUCCUCGCGGCGCAGGAGCGCAGAGGGACAGGCGGAGCGCUUUACUGGCUGUGGGCAGGAGCUGCUGAAGCUGCAGAGGCCACAGAAAGGUAGAGAAGAAGAAACGGAAGGCUGACUGGCUGGCAGCUGCCUCCCGCUGCAGGCAAGAGAGAGCCUGCCUCUCCGGGUGUGGAAGGAUCCCUCCUCGUAGUCCACAUCAGGUCAGACUGCCAGGGUCUGUAUGCAUGACCGGCAGCGGGGUACGGCCAUGUAGCGAGCGAGCGAGGCUACAUGUCUAGGAGGCCUCAUCUCGUAAGAGCCGUGAGACGCUCGCGUGUUCUGUUAUGUGGAGGACAGCCAAGCGACUGGAGUUACAGAAGAGGAAGGGAGGAGAGGAGGAGAAAGAAGUGUCUGAGGUGGUGAGGUCUCCUGGCAGCUCCAAGAGCGAGAGCUGUGUGUCACCUUCCGCGUCACACGAAGAAAAUCCCGCGUGGGUAAUUCCGCUUGCUGCUCAGGUAAUCGCACGUAUCGGGCUGGGGGAGCGGAGAGAAACACUUGCGAGUUCGAGGGCGCUACAGAUGCUCCACGUUAAACCCACAGAAAAGGCAAAUUUGCUGCUAGUGCAGAAAAGCUGAUGGAAAAAUUGCUGUUAACAGAUCGUGCCCUGUUCUUGCACUGGUCUCUUGAUACGUUUUUGUUUCAGGUGAAAGAACGAAAUUUUGUGUCUGGUAAAUUCAGAGCUGCCUGUUAGCUUCUUUAGGGUCGAGUGUUUCUCUUCGCUCUGUUCGUACGGAUUUUAUGGGCAAGUUGGAAACAGCCUUUUACUUUUUUAUGUGUAACUGAAUUUUUAGGAAUAUGUGGUGUCCCUGUAGUUCAUUUUUGAGCACCUAGAAGCCAGUAGAAAUGUCAUGAGUGAAACGUGAUGGAAACUGGUACUUAAACUUGAUUUCUAUUUCGAUUUUUUUUUUUUUUUUUUUUCUUCUUCCCCAUUGAGAGUGUUGAUGGCAUGUUGUCCCGUGGCACAAUCCCCAUUCCGUUCAGUGGAGUCUUCAGUCUAGGACUUUUAAGUAAAAAAGUUUGUCCUUCCAAAAAAG
Molecule: long non-coding RNA, 1256 nt
Filed under: Aquila chrysaetos chrysaetos
Lineage: Eukaryota; Metazoa; Chordata; Aves; Accipitriformes; Accipitridae
Description: lncRNA (ENSACCG00020013407.1)
Source: RNAcentral